This 440-nucleotide ribosomal RNA is filed under the name uncultured bacterium. Its description in RNAcentral is "bacterial SSU rRNA". It matches the Rfam family "Bacterial small subunit ribosomal RNA", at positions 338 to 795 of the family's 1533-position model. The record is from RNAcentral.
CCUANGGGGGGCAGCAGUCGGGAAUUUUGCUCAAUGGGGGAAACCCUGAAGCAGCAACGCCGCGUGAGGGAUGAAGGCCUUCGGGUUGUAAACCUCUUUUCUCAGGGACGAUAAUGACGGUACCUGAGGAAUAAGCCACGGCUAACUACGUGCCAGCAGCCGCGGUAAUACGUAGGUGGCAAGCGUUGUCCGGAUUUACUGGGCGUAAAGAGCGCGCAGGCGGUCGAGUAAGUCGAAUGUGAAAGCCCCCGGCUCAACUGGGGAUCGUCAUUCGAUACUGUUCGACUUGAAGAUGGGAGAGGGAAGCGGAAUUUCAGGUGUAGUGGUGAAAUGCGUAGAUAUCUGAAGGAACACCAGUGGCGAAGGCGGCUUUCUGGCCCACUCUUGACGCUGAGGCGCGAAAGCUAGGGGAGCGAACGGGAUUAGAUACCCUANUANUC